This 501-nucleotide ribosomal RNA is filed under the name uncultured bacterium. RNAcentral's name for it is "partial 16S ribosomal RNA". It matches the Rfam family "Bacterial small subunit ribosomal RNA", at positions 29 to 523 of the family's 1533-position model. The record is from RNAcentral.
AUUGAACGCUGGCGGCAUGCCUUACACAUGCAAGUCGAACGGCAGCACGGGUGCUUGCACCUGGUGGCGAGUGGCGAACGGGUGAGUAAUACAUCGGAACGUACCUUAUCGUGGGGGAUAACGCAGCGAAAGCUGUGCUAAUACCGCAUACGCCCUGAGGGGGAAAGCGGGGGAUCGCAAGACCUCGCGCGAUUAGAGCGGCCGAUGCCUGAUUAGCUAGUUGGUGGGGUAAAAGCCCACCAAGGCGACGAUCAGUAGCUGGUCUGAGAGGACGAUCAGCCACACCGGGACUGAGAAACGGCCCAGACUCCUACGGGAGGCAGCAGUGGGGAAUUUUGGACAAUGGGGGCAACCCUGAUCCAGCAAUGCCGCGUGAGUGAAGAAGGCCUUCGGGUUGUAAAGCUCUUUUGUCAGGGAAGAAACACCGGCUCUAGCACAGUCCGGGAAUGACGGUACCUGAAGAAUAAGCACCGGCUAACUACGUGCCAGCCGCCGCGGUAA